This 381-nucleotide long non-coding RNA is filed under the name Gossypium barbadense (sea-island cotton). RNAcentral describes it as "long non-coding RNA (GBAR_LNC019626)". The record is from RNAcentral. Lineage: Eukaryota; Viridiplantae; Streptophyta; Magnoliopsida; Malvales; Malvaceae.
UCAAGCAUGCCAUGGAGCUUCCAUUACACUGGAGAAUGCGGAGGCUUGAAGCAAGGUGGUACAUCGAUGUACAUGAAAGACAAGCGGAUUUGAACCCCAUUGUAUUACAGCUAGCAAAGUUGGACUUCAACAUUUUACAAGCACUGCAUCAAGAAGAACUCAAAGAUCUGUCAAGGUAUACCUAUAUAUCAACAUAAAUGAAACAUAAAAUUAUGUAAUUGGUUUUCAUGCCCUUCAAUUUACCUGCAAAGGUGGUGGAAGAACACUGGUCUUGGGGAGAUACUGAGGUUUGCUAGGAAUAGAUUGGUGGAAUCCUUCUUAUGGACAGUAGGGAUAGAUUUCGAGCCUCGGUUCGGAAGCUGCCGGAAAACUCUUACAAAG